UAUAUAGGAGCCUGAGAGUGAUGAUCUUGU
Molecule: non-coding RNA, 30 nt
Filed under: Rattus norvegicus (Norway rat)
Lineage: Eukaryota; Metazoa; Chordata; Mammalia; Rodentia; Muridae
Source: RNAcentral